UACGUAGGGGGCGAGCGUUGUCCGGAAUUACUGGGCGUAAAGGGUGCGUAGGCGGUUUUUUAAGUCAGAUGUGAAAUACCCGGGCUUAACCUGGGGGGUGCAUUUGAAACUGGGAGACUUGAGUGCAGGAGAGGAAAGUGGAAUUCCUAGUGUAGCGGUGAAAUGCGUAGAUAUUAGGAGGAACACCAGUGGCGAAGGCGACUUUCUGGACUGUAACUGACGCUGAGGCACGAAAGCGUGGGGAGCAAACAGG
Molecule: ribosomal RNA, 253 nt
Filed under: uncultured bacterium
Lineage: Bacteria
Description: partial 16S ribosomal RNA
Rfam family: Bacterial small subunit ribosomal RNA
Source: RNAcentral